RNAcentral lists this ribosomal RNA (493 nucleotides) under uncultured bacterium. RNAcentral describes it as "partial 16S ribosomal RNA". It matches the Rfam family "Bacterial small subunit ribosomal RNA", at positions 28 to 506 of the family's 1533-position model. The record is from RNAcentral.
GACGAACGCUGGCGGCGUGCUUAACACAUGCAAGUCGAACGGAAAGGCCUGCUUUCCCUUGUGGAUUGCGGGUACUCGAGUGGCGAACGGGUGAGUAACACGUGAGUGAUCUGCCCCCAACUUGGGUAUAAGCCUGGGAAACUGGGUCUAAUUCCCGAUAGGACUGCAGGGUGGUGCCUGUGGUGGAAAACGAUUUUCUAGUGGUUGGGGAUGAGCUCGCGGCCUAUCAGCUUGUUGGUGGGGUAAUGGCCUACCAAGGUGGCGACGGGUAGCCGGCCUGAGAGGGUGGACGGCCACAUUGGGACUGAGAUACGGCCCAGACUCCUACGGGAGGCAGCAGUGGGGAAUAUUGCACAAUGGGCGGAAGCCUGAUGCAGCGACGCCGCGUGGGGGAUGACGGCCUUCGGGUUGUAAACUCCUUUCGACCGCGAGGAAGCCACCUGGUUGGAAGGGUGGUGACGGUAGUGGUAGAAGAAGCACCGGCUAACUACGU